Molecule: long non-coding RNA, 12671 nt
Organism: Lagopus muta (rock ptarmigan)
Lineage: Eukaryota; Metazoa; Chordata; Aves; Galliformes; Phasianidae
Exons: 3
Source: RefSeq, a predicted model, not a curated record
AGCAGCUGCACUGCUCUAUUUCUACUGUGUCUUCACCAGCUUGUAACAGCUUCUUAUGAGGAAGACUGAAAUCAGGAUAAAACUUUUAUUAACACCAAUGAGGGAAGGACUCCACACCUCUGUCGCCAUGCCCGCAAGGCAGCUUGGUGCCCUCCUGCAGCAGAAACCAUUAUCAAGUUCAUCUAAAAGAUCAUAGAAUCCUGGCAUCAUGGAAGAGAGCCCCUGCCAGCUGUAAGAAACCUCAAGAAGUCAACUGACUUAAAACAUUCAUUCUCAAAUAUCAGCUAAAUCAACCAUUACUUCAGCACUUCUGUGACAUGAAGACUGAAGGACAUCUGAUAAAUCUUGCUAAAACACUGUUUUAAGCAUAUCACCUCAUCUGUACUAAAGAUUUUCCAUUAACAGAGGCUCACAAAGUAAAUUGACAACAUGUUUAGCAGCUAGAAUCUUUUUAUUUGCAAACAGUCAGGAACUUUCAGGCUACUAGUCUCCUGAUUAACUGUUUUCUGCUGUAAUGGAAGUAGAAGUUUACACUCAAAAAUGACUGUUUACCAUUAAAUUCCAUGUAGGGACUCCACUUUACAGAUCAUUUAUUCUACAUUCUGAGUUUUUAUAGAAAUACCAUGUGGCAAAUGCAGUUGAGGAGAUGAAAAACACUUGUUAAAUCAUGCUAUAUUUCUAUCCCAUAAUAUUUCCUAGGACAUAGUUAUACUUACUUUUUAACAUCUUAUGAGGAGAGGGGAAAAAAGAGAACAAGUGAUAUAUUCUUACACGUCUCUCCACUUAAUUACUUUCACUGACAUUUACAUGGCAACACUUUUCACAUAUUUCAGUUUCCUAAAUAGAGGACCGUUUGAUAAAAUUGCUUAAAUAAUCAUUAGAUCAUUAUUACCAUUCAAAGAAAAAGCAGUUAAAAUGUCACUGCACUGCAUCUCCCAUAAAUAAAGCACUCAGAAAUGGAGAACAGUUUUAUGAGGGCCAGGUGGCAUUUUGCGUUAGUCUGCUUUUCUUACAAAGACGUAGAAAAGGUCUGCAGCCCUGAUGCAGCCCGAGAGCCUCAUCUUUUAUAGCAAUAUGUUCUGUUUCACUGCCAUGGCUUGACUACUCCCUCACCUAAACUAAACUAGUGUCAGUGCCUUUUAAUGACUCUUCUCUAUUUGAUAUACUUUAUGGUUUGCUCUUGGAGGUAGCAAACAUAGCAUAUAUCUCCCAGAGCAGUUGAAGUAAUGCAGCACUUCCCAGACUGCCUUCCAGAGCACGUGAUGAAGAGUAUACAGCUCUGUAGCCAUUAUCUGGGAAAUGCUUUGUCUUUUUCUUGCUUUUCUGAGUUUUGAGGAUUUCCAUUCGGAGUCAGAGCUCACCAACUCACCCAGCACGAUCUUCUCUUCACCAAAAAUGCUCCACGCGUUUGCUCUCUGUCUUUAUGUAAAAGUUACAUUUACAUCUCACGUCGAUUACCAAGUUAGUAGAUUGAAAAGUUACACCUCUCGCUAACAUUUACUAUCAUUUCAAGUAAUGUCAAACUCUAAUUUCUGUAUUGUGCUCUUUGUCUAUUUGUCUGCCGUGUACUUAUUUGCAAAGAUGGUACAGGAAAUAAUACUCAUUUGAGGAGAAGAUUGCUUCCAAUAUUCUGCAUGGCUGGUGGUAGAAAGCAAAGGGAAAAUCAUGUUUUUGCAUUUUGCACAUCAGAGAGCACAAAGACACUUGUACAUUACCAAUGAGGGCAGAGGGAAUUUCCAUGCUCUGUCUGCAGUCACUCCAGCCAUGCUGCCAGCUGCUCCUUGACACAAGGUCUGUGCUGGGGUUACUUUUCUUCUGGGUCAAAUUUGCUCUCAGUAGCUGUGUCAAAUUCAGCUGUGAGCUUUUCCUUGCACCCCUCAGUGCAAAAGCCCCAGCCCGGUCUGAUAUGCAGCCCACUCAAAAGCGUCCUUCAGAGUGCCCUAAGUCUCAGGGCAUUGGGUCUGAGCCUGAAUGCAUUUUUGCAUGGUAUUAGUGAGAAUCAUACAUGAAGCUGGAAUUUAAACGAGCUUUUAAACCUUACUUAGAAUCAAUGGUGUAAAUAUACAGGAGGAAGAGAAGCACAGAGUGAGUAAAUCUGAACAGAAUGUCAAAAAGAUUCAUUCUAUUUGGAACGAAACAGUGGUAAAGAAAUCUUUUCCAGAGGUGGACUUAUCUUCAUUUCCCUGAAAAUACUUGCUUUUUUCUUUUUGCCCUUCAUCUACUGGGGUGAUAAUUACUUGGGAUGGGCUUUCAGUAAUUGAGAACUGUUUUUUUUUUGAUAGUGCUCCUUCCCCUUGAAUGUCACCACAUCGAUCUUAACAGCACACUUCGAUGUCACUCAGGACAACUGGCUCAGUGAGAGAUGGCGGUUCUGCUUAGCAGCAAAUCUUCCAUUUCCUUUGUUAUCCAGACAGUUUCUUUCCACUGUGGCCAAGGACUGUGUGUUCAGUCAUGAACACACAGUGCAGGCCUGCAGGAAGGGGAAGAUGCAUAAUUUAUGCUGCAGGCCAGCACAGUGUCUCACACACUUUAAAACAAGCACUUCCUAUUUCAUAACUGUAGCCAAUUCUACAGCUGGAGAAUUCUUCUGUCCCACUGCACAUAAACCUCCUUUGCAUAUUUCAAAGUCUCAGUUUUACAACAGAAUCUCUUUACAUGAAGGGAAAUGAAAAUUUCCUUCUUGCUAUCAAUAACCUCAAGCUAAAUGUCCUUCUUGGCAGGCAGAAUAAGUGUUAGCCUAGAAAAGGAAGGACGUAUCUCUUGCUCCAGAUACAUAUUCUAAUAAUCAGAGAGAAUCUGCCCUGAUCUUGAACAGCAAUUAUUGUUUGGGAGGACACUGUGUUUAAUUUUCCUUGCUGCUUUGCUCUACCAGUGCCAUGUCAGCCCCAGCUGCCCAGAGAUGUGAACCUGAUCCCCCAGCAGACUAUUGGAAAACAGUCAGAUAUUAAAUGGAGAGAUGUUGCAUUUCUGUCUGUCUUUGCAAAACUGCAGUACCUGAAAGACACUUAGGGCAGAAAAUAAAUCAGGAUUAAAGAGUCGCCAAUGAGGCUGGUCCUUUUUCCUCAGCAGGAGCCAAAUAACAGUGCUGAUCCAAACUGAUGCCAUGGAAGGUUCAUCCAGACUGGAACAGUAAGAAGACAAAGAAAAAACAGGAUAACUAUUUUAUUAAUCAUUUCUGAUAGAAAUAUAUUAAGCAGUACUGGCAGUGGAUCCAUUUGUGAAAGAUUUCCCUUCUCCUUGUGAGAAUUGUGAUAGCAAUAAAUAACGGCAUUUUGAAAUAAUUUCAUUUUCAAUGCAAGUCAUUCUGCUUUUCAUUCCCUGUAUACACUUUAAUUUAUGUAAUGGAUUUGUUGCUGUAGCACGGAUAUUUUGUUUCGGGCAUUUCACUUCAUGCUCUAAACAAAUGAGAAACAGUUUAGAGGAGAAAAAUAAAAUAACAAUAUUCUUAAAAUUCCUCAAAGCCUUGGAAAGAAUUGGAAAAAUUAUCUGUACGUAUUGUGGAACAGAGCAGUGUCACAGAAAUGUGAUGAUAGUCUUCAUAUAUAAGCAAGGAUUGUUGCAGAGCAAAAUAAUUCACAGUUUUCCGUUUCCACCAGUGUAAAACCAGAUGGAAUCAACUUCAUCUGUAGGCAGAGGAGAUUGGGUUAGGAAGGCAUAUGUGCUGUAGGAACUGUUAAAUCCUGGAGUAGAUCACCAAGGGAGAUGAAAGAAUUCCCAACAAGUGUACAUACAUUCAGAUAUAUGCUUUGGAUUAUGCAUUACGUGUGCAUGUUUUAGAUACACAUCUGCUAAAGAUAUGCUGAUCUCACAGAAGCAGAAUGGGGUAAUGGAAUAUCUCGCCAUUCCCGUUGCUUCUUUCCAUAAUUUAUUUGAAUUUGUAGCGGGGAAUCUCAGAACAGAAUCCUCAGCAUGAAACAUGCUGCACAAAUCAUAAGAAAACCUCCAGGGAAGAUCACUAAUUUUCACACUCUACCAGUAUCAAUAUCUAAAUAGAUGUUGAAAAAUCAGCUUGCUGUUCUUUCAAGUAAGUUUACAUAAAGGCAUGAUAAGUUUGUCUAUUCUGCACCUCCCUGUAAAUAAUAUUUAAUAUUUAAUAAUAUUUAACCAAAACAUCCUCUGGGCUCCUGUGAAUUUAGUGCCAAUGGAAGAAUUGAGAAGGACAGCUUGCUUUUCCUAAGCUGAUGAAACUAACCUGACUCACCUCUUGGUUUCCCAGCUGAAUACGACAGUUUGGACAGCAGUGGUCAUGUUGCAGAGUAGAAAUGCACACUCUGGUGAUGCUUUCCCUCUAAAUUUUCCAAAGUCAUCUCAGAAUGUUCAAAUUCAUCAAAAUAUAUGCAAAUUUUUCCACUAGUUUCAGCAGAACCACGCUUUCCCUCACUUGUUGUGUUGGUUCCCUUUCAGAACGGAGGAGGUUUAGCUAUGAACUGUCUUUUCCUGCAAUUUCAGCUGUGGAACACAACCUUGCUUUAAACUAAUCAGGUCACCUGAAACUCCAGAGUCUGCAAAAUCUUAUCUGACCAGACAUGGCAGUUGAUAAAUACUUUCAUUGCUUCAGAAAAAGAAUACUGGGCUUUUAUGCCAUACCAUCACAUUGUUCUGAACACCGACAAGCUGCCAAGGCAGUGGCAGUACUUGAAAAGAUUAACCCUUUUUCUGAGACUCCCUAUGAUGCCAUGAGGUGCUAAGAAGGCAGACUUCACACUUCCAGAAUUCUCAGGAGUGUUUUACCAACUCAUUUUCACGUUUCAGUUUUCCACGAUCUGUACCCAUCCUAGCCAUAACUUCUUCUACACUGUUUGAGCUCUUGACUUCUGCCUUAACAGGCAUGCCUACAUACAGUGAUAAAAAGCUUAAUCACUCUAACCUUCCUUUCCCAUUACUUACCAUCAUGUGUUAAGAUCUUCACCACAGUUAGGCCAUAAAGAGACAUGUUCAAGAGUCUGGCAUGGGGUGAAUCUCCACUUCAGUUGCUACAGACAAUUUAACAAGAGUUAUAUAGAUGGUUCUCCAUGUGCUAUUUGUGAAUUACUGUUUUAACAAUCAGAGGUACGGACAUUGUUUAUGAGGUGUGAGGUGCUAUUUUUACAAUACAAUAAAUCUUAAAAGGUCAGCUUGGCAAAAGGGUGCCUGGAUGAUGGAAAUCAUAAAAACUAAUAUAUGAAAUGAAGUAGAGCAAAUUUAGGUGAAAGUGUAAACAGCACUUUGACAGAUAAAAGCAACUAUCUAGGACUGUAGCAGAUAUUCCAGUGGUAGAACAAAGCAGCAGGAACAGAGCCAAGUUAAUAGGAAUACAUUGCUGCUGCUGCUGGUUAGAGCAACAAAUUUAAGAAACAGUAACGAAAGUGUUGAAAAUAGCCAUAUUUUGAAAAGAGCCAGAUACAGUGGAAUACUCCAGAAACUAUUUUUAAUUUAAAAAAACGAUUCCUGCACUUUUGAAUUGUAAUUAACAACAACAACAACAAAAAUUCUAAAUAAGUAUCUUAGUAUCCUACAGGACAUAUUUGAAGCAUGAGGUCACCUGGUUCUUAAUCAAAAGCUGAGAUGACCUGAAAAAAUACAAACCCACACAACAAAGUGUAAGCUGGCUUUUCCAUCCCUUGGCUAUAACAAGAAAAAAAUAUAAUCAGAAAGAGCAAAAAAUACUGAAAUUGAAUACCUCAGGGUUUCACAUAUCUCUGCUUGACCUUGCUGCAUUUUCCUCUGGGAUGUCCUGUCACCAGAAACUGGGCUUGGUGCUGUUCCAUCUCUUAGGAGCUGCUGAGCAGGCGCUUGCUGUUUGCUUACCUUACUGCAGAAUGAAGCUAGUUUGCUUCAGCUACCUGACUUGUCUCAGCACAUUUGGGACAGUCCACAAGUAUGUGAACAGUCACUUAAAGAAGCUGGAACUUUACUGCUUGCAGCUGAGGGUGUAAUUUGAACAGUUUCUCUGAUGCAAGGAGGCCUACAGGCUCAGUAUUUGUGACUACUCACGCUUGUUUAAAAAGAUGCAAAUGCUUAGCUUAUUUUCAUCUGUGAGCUGCUUUGUUUUCCAAUGGUAUUUCUAUCCCAUGAGUACUGCCCAUACCCCCCCAUAUUCAGGCACAGAAUGAAGCACAGGCCAGGCUGCUGUGGAAACACAGCUUGGGACUGGAGGUACUUGGGAAUGGAGAUUUCAGCAAUGCCUCCUCAGCAUGCUGGAUGGAUACAACCAGUGACCAACGUACAAAAGCUUCACAAAAGUGGAAGGUCACUUGGAGAGCAGUUCUGGAACAGUGGAGAAAAAGCAAUGAUUCAGCCAUGCCUUCCAGCACAAACUUGUUUUCAACACUGAGCUUACAUCCACCCUCAUCCCACAAGGUUUAAUAGACGACUGUGGAACCUUAACAUGGAUUAAUGCCAAAGAGAGACAGCUUGUCUCUGAGGGCUCAGGAGGAGUUGGAAAAAAUUGUGUUCUGCCUUCUUUCUACCUAAUCUGGCUUCUGUGCAGUUUGGUGAUGCACUGUACUCCUCUGAAGGGAUUGAUGUACUGCACAGUGCAAUCCUAGCCUGGUGCUAAUUGUGACAGCUUAGUACUAAUGUGAAGACGCUCAGGUAACGAUGAUCAAACACACACACACAAAAACAAAACAAAAGAACACUGAAAUUGUAUUUAUGUGAAAUGGCAUUUAUUUCCAAGUUGGCAUUUUCAGAGUAGACAUCUUUUUGUAUAUAUAUGUGUGUGUUCAUGUAUGUAUGUAUCGUGUGCAAACCAUGCACAGAACUGAUAGCCAAAACAAAUGGGGUUUAAUUUUAUUCUCUUGACUGUGCAGUGAUUUCAUCCUCAACAGGCUGUGUUGAGCCCAUGCAGGCUUUUUCUCUUCUAAUACCAGCAGUCUACAAAGGCAGCUGACAGGACGAUGAGCUUUUCUUGUGUAUUGUAGUUAGUUCUGUCCUACUACAGGAGGAAGCAGCAUCCUGUGCCUUUUAUCUGGUCCCUACAAGUCUGAAGGCUGGAGGAAGAAAAUGGGCAGAUAGCCAUGAGAAGCAGGAGCAACAAACUGUUCUUGUAAUAAUAAGUGUUGAAAGACAUUUAAAAGAUGCUUCAUUCUGGGUUGUACUGCAUGGUGGUGAGGAUUGAGCUGAAAAGGGGUAGGCAGGUCUGUGCUUUAUUUUGUGCAGAGGGCAGAAUUUCAGCUCUCAGCAGUGCAUCAUGCAUCAGCUCAGUGAGAUAAGUAGGUGCAGCACAGCUGUGGCUGGGAGGGAUGGUGAUGACAUGAGCAAAUAAUUUCAUUUACGAUUUCAGGUUGUCAGGAAGCACUGUCCCAAGAGAGAUGAGCAAAUGGCACUUUUGCUGGCAGUGAAUCAUAAACAUGCCAGCAGAAGUUACAAAGCACUCUCUCCAUUUAACCCCACUUUCCAAAAGGUAAAAAGCAUUUCUGAGUUUUAAUGGAUCUGAAUUCAGAGCCACACUCAAGUACUCCAAAUGACUGGGACUUAGAUGUGAGAAGUGAGGCAGCUGAGGUUAGCAACCACUCUCUAAAAGUGGCUUCAUUUCCCUCGCUCGGCUUCAGAAACGUUCCCCCAUCAGCAGCCCUGGGCGCAGGCCCUGCUGUGGGACACCAUCCUCUGUCCCUCAGGCAGAAGUUUUAGAGAAAUAAAUCACAAUCUCGUUGAUGCUGAUGGAGAUCUUUGGGAUUGACAUCACGUUUUGCCUUUGGAUUGCAGAACUUUGCCAGGAUAACAUGCCAUCGCCCUGUUUGUUGUAUUUGCAGUAAAGCAGAAAAGUACCUCCCUUUCCUCCAUGUCUCAGAAAUCCUGUGCACAAACUGGUCUGAAUUUGGGGUUACACAUAUUAGCUAGGAGAUUUGUGGAAUAGAGUAUACAUUAGUCUCUGUGCAGCAGCUAUACAUUAGUCACAACCUUUGGUUUCUCUCCAUGUUGAAGCUCAUUGAGGUAGUUAUUUUCUUCAUUUAGCAAUCUGCCCAUGUCUGUUAAGCAGCAUUGUGGCGAUUUAAGGCCACGUCUUGAAUAUUCUUUGUGUUAUCUUGUCCUUUGAUUUCCUGAAGACACUGAAAAAUGUAAUAAUUGUAAUUUGCUAUUCAAGUAUUUAUACUUAUUAGAGUUUCAUUUUCAUACUGAAUAGGGCUUCGCAGAUGCAACCUGGCCUCUGUACUGAGGACUCUGACUUUACCCAGCUGAAGGUGUGUGAGCUUUCCGUAGUCGUUAGGGAGGGAUGAGGGAAGAGUUCAUCCUGUCUUAGAAGAGGCACUAAAGAUUUCUCCUCACUUACUCACUCCAUUUAGUAGGGUUUGUCUGCUCUAAGAUCGUUUUUGUAGUGUUUUGUUCCACCUGGGAGAGCAGCUGCUCCAAGUGGCAUGGUUCCACUCAUAAGUGAGAGAGACAAAGGAAAUUGUGAUAUGUGACUCUAAUAUUACAGAAAAAAAUAGGCUGCUUGCUGACAGAUGAAGUUAGAAGCCAGCUGUCCAGUCCUGUGUGUCGUUCAUAUAGCUGUGUUUUUAAAAAGGAGAGAUUUAUAGAACUGAUAAGCAAGGCUUUAUAGCAAGGCUUUAAAUUUUAUUGUGUAGUUAUGAAUUUACUUCAAUCUUCUGAAGAAAAAAAAAAGAAAAAGAAAAAAGAAAAGAAAAAGCUGUGAGCUGAUUUUAGCUUUGCUGAAAAAGAGAGAAAGAACAUCUUUUUCCUGUGUGCACAGAGAUGGGCUGCAGCCUCAGCACACUGCUGACCCUCAGGGCUAGGGGCCUUGGACUGCUGUCCCCAAACGAGCCCCUUUCUGCCAAAUCCAACAGCCAUCAAGCACUUCGAGAGGAUCAUAAGCUAAGAAGGGCUAUUUCAGUCAAUGCAAGUGUAACUGCUACUGCUUUUCCCCCUCCAGACCCAUCUGGAAAUCUGCACGUAGCUGUAAAUAAUGUCAUUGUUGCUGGAAAGAGCCAGUGCUGGAGGCAGCCACCAGCACUCAGUUUGCAGUAGCCUGGCAGCAGCCCAGCAGCCUCAGCUGGGACUCACACCUCGCACGGACUGGGAGCCAGGCAGCCUUCCAGCUCGCACCCUGUUUGCCUGAACACAUUUAUUUUUAGAAAGAAAAAAAGCCAUAAAGAAGCUGGCUCAUUAUUUAAAGAUUAGGAUAAAAAUAAAAAAUAGAAUAGCUGGAGCAUUUCAACCAUUUUCCAAACAGCUAAAAUUCUCCUCUCAAGUCCUGACCCUUUCCUAUCCUAUCCUGGAUGGCAGGCAAAUGUUAGUUCUAUUUGGUUAGCUAGAGGAGCAGUGCAUUAUAAAGUGAGUUUGAGUGGGGGCCCAAGGUCAGGUCCUGUGACACCCCAGGCAAAGCAGACAUGUCCUGAGGCCUAAGAGGUCAGCAGAGAUGACGUGAUAUCAUACCUGAGAUGGGAGGCAGGUGAGACUCAGACCCCAAAUCUUUUGUCUCUUGGCAGUUAAUAGGACUGGCUCUGCCUCUGGAUCCUAAUUUGUGGUUGAGUUUAUCACAAUUACAGCUAAAACACAGGGGCGUGAAACAGCUCAUGCUCUAGACAGCGAGAAAGCUCUCAAUUUCCAUCCCAGCCUGCUUGCCUUCUCCACCAGUUCAUUACAUGAGAGUUGUGCCCCGUCUCUGGCCCUUUUCUUGUCACCGCUUAUUCCUUGCAAACGUCACUUUGAUGAACAGCACAAUUCUUACUGUCGUUACUUUUCUAACUGCUGCCAACAAUCUACUGAAUGCAGCAGUCAGGCUGUUACAGCACUCUCAUUCAUGGUACUGUUGCCCUUCUCUGUAGAUUGUUGCAGCACCCUCAGCAUAAAUCUCUAUAGCGAACACUUUUGGACUGAGUGCUAAUAAUAAAAUGCUGGAUACCUCAAGCUUUUGCAAACGCUGUCUUUGCCAGGGACUUUUUUUUAUUGGUUUAUUUUGAAAUGGCUCUCUUUAGAAAACAACUGUGUUUUACAGCCUAAUUUCCGGCAGAUGUGACAAUCUACACCCCUCUCCUUCCUAGAAUAAAGCUGUGGUAGUAUGCUGUGUCUUGCUGCAAUGCUAAUGUCUCCACGGCUGACACGUACUACAUGUUAGCAGUGCAAAGAAGACUGCGUGGGACUGUGUUUGGGGAUGGGAAAGUGGCAGAAAACUGCAGAUGUAAAAAAAUAUAUGUAUUUUGCAUCAGCACUCUAAUAUUUAGAACAUGCCAGUGAUUCAUGGUGAGACAUGCAUCUGGUAUCUGUGCCGCUGUGUAUUGAAAAAUACUGAUUGCUCUGUGAAUUUGGCAGCAAGAUAAAAAAACAAGGUUUUGAUCUUGGUGCAAAAAUAACAAAGCUGUACACGUGUCUCUGGCAUGUCAGAAAACAGCUCAGAGUGGGUUUGCUCUCCUUACCCCCUUCUAUUUUCAUGAAGGUGAAUAGCCUGCCUGCCUGCUUGCCUGCCUGCAUGCAGAGAGGGCAGACAAGGUUGGUGUGAUGGGGUAAAGGAGCUGUUAAAUGCCCACAACAUGUUGCUGAUUCCCUCAAGCCCUGCACGCUGCCUAUUGAGCUGAAUCCUGCCCAGAGCUCAGCCCCUUUCAGAGCUCCUGUCUUUACCCAAUCUGUCAGUGCCUCGCUGCUUUGUCUCUUCUUGAGUGUUCAUGAAGAACUACAAGAGGCGAGACUGGUAGAAUUUGAUAUUUGAUUUCCACUUAUUUGUGAGCAUUUUGUAUUUGUUUUCCACAGGUGUGCCAGUAAUUACACCACUGGUGUACAUCACUGCAGCAGCACAGCAGUGUUGCUCUGACACCUGCAGUUCAUUAUUUUCACAGGCUCACAACUGGGUGGUCAUCAUGGAAAAUUGGAUUCCAUCAGCAGGGAUGGCUGUACUGUUCCUUAUGAAGUGUUUCUAAGGCAGCUGUUUCUGUGCUACUUGAGCAUUAAAUACAGUAUGUGAGAUUCCAGUAGCUCCUUGCAGGGCUGCUGGGCAGUCACCAGAGUUAAGGGUUGUAAACACGUAAGGUCUUUAAUUCAAAUGAUGCUGAAAAGCUUAUAAUGCAAAUGGAAAACAAAUGCUAGUAAAUCCAUGAUGGUUUUUUUUCACGAUCCCUCUCUGCAGCCUGUUCAGUCUCCCUGCUUUUGACCCAUAAGUCAAAACAUAUUUCAGUACAUUCCAAAAUUCUGUGUGAGCAGCUCCCUGCAUUUGGAUGUAUCUGCCUAUUCUUUAUGCAACCAGUAUAAAAUGGAUCCCCUUUCUUGCCUUCUCUCUUUUCUGUUGAUGAUUUUAUUCUACAUUAGAAACAUUAUUUUAAACAGUAUGUUAUGUGUUGUUAUUGCUACUAUUGCAAGUAUGUGCUAUAGUGAAAAUAGCCUGAGUGACAAUCACAGCAAGUUAAAAUGUAUUAUAAAGGCAUUAAAGUGGUUGUUAACUGAGCCACUAUGAAUGUUUGAGUUUUAAGAAUUUAUUGAUUUAAAUUAUGUAUGUUAAUGUACCCAUCAAACUUAGAAAUGUGGAUUGUAGCAAACUGCUCAUAAUAUAUGAAUGAUAAGCAUAAAUAAUAACUGUGUCUGUAAAUUACAUUACUUAAUUAUGCUGCAAAGAUGCACUUUAAUUUGGAAAAUUACUUGAAAUUGAUUUCAGCAGUUAAUAAUUAUUUUAGGAUAGCAGAGCUUUAUGAGCCAUAGUCUCAAGUCAAGCAUCAAACUUUCUGACAGGUUUUUCCCACUAACCUGGUUCACUGGGUAUUGCUAUGACCUGAAUACAGUGGAUGUGACAGACAAAAUAAUGAGUGGAGAUAUUUGUAAACCAAAAUACAGAAGUGCUUUAAAUCAAAGACGUGACUGUUUUGAUGGUGGAAACAACCGUGAGUAUGGGUGAGAGCUGAGUUAAUGAAGGGGGCCUUCUUGGUCCCAAGGACUCCUGAACGCUUGCUGUGGUUUGUAGAUCCUUUGGGGAUUGUGGUUUUGCUCCAGCUUACCUGUCUGGUGCAAUGAUGUUCAUUGCAUUUGUGAGCUUCUCCUUCAGAAGAAGUAAAGCAUCAGUGGCUCACAGAAGGAGCUUCUCCUUCACUGUGAACACAUGCUAAGAAAAGCCAAAACAUUGCAAUGAUUCAGUUCAGCUGGGUGAGUAUAUAGAAAGGUGUUAUAUAGGUAGAGUGUGGGUAUAGGGAUUUUAGAUCUCUAAAUCACCUACAUUAAGAUAUCAGAUAUCUAAGUUGUGAAUAUGGGAAAGUAUGUGUGUGUGUGUACAGAAAAUAUAUAUGAUUUGAUUCCAUUUAUAUUCAAAACUUCCACUGGUUUGUAUUUUCCAUAUUCCCUUCUCACUUCAAAUUUUCAGCAGUAUAUUGGAAAUUGAGCCUUGGAAACAAGAAAACUGCAUCUUGCCUUUGGUUCUUAGGAACUUGAUGAUGUCACUGUUCUCCUGACCUUCAACUUCACAGAUCAAUGACAAUCACUACAAUAAAUUCUGUGUUAUCCCAAAAUUUCUUACAAACUUGUUAACUGUCAGUUUAAUCCAAUAGAUGUUAAUGUGUUACCUUGACUCAUUCUGAUUUUCUAGUUUCCAUCUGAAAAGUGUCACAAGUAAUAAUAUUUUGGAACAAGUAAAUAUAAUUUAGAAUAAAAAGAUGCUUACUGAGCCAGGAUUAAGAAAAACUGUAUUACUGUCUUCUGUAAACUCGAGGAUAAUAUGUUCUCUUCCAAAGAAUCACAGCUUUUCCACUGCAUUCUGCAGAGGAUUCAUUCCCAUCACA